This 40-nucleotide ribosomal RNA is filed under the name Lethariella sp. Hur 040085. RNAcentral describes it as "partial 18S ribosomal RNA". Lineage: Eukaryota; Fungi; Ascomycota; Lecanoromycetes; Lecanorales; Parmeliaceae. The record is from RNAcentral.
AGUCGUAAAAGGUUUCCGUAAGGUGAACCUGCGGAAGGAU